GUGGAGAAAUAGAAAUGCUUUUACUAUUUUUUUUUUUUUUUGGUAAGUUGUGUAUGUCUAGUAAUGUAUCCGCUUUUAUACUGUGGGUGGGAGUGUAAAUUAAUUCAACCACUGUAGAAGACAGUGUGUUGAUUACUCAAGAAUCCAGAACCAGAAAUACCAUUUGACUCAGCAAUGCCAUUACAGGGUAUAUACCCAAAGGAUUAUAAAUCAUUCAACUAUAAAGACACAUGCACGCAUGUUUAUUGAAGCACUAUUCACAAUAACAAAGACUUGGAACCAACCCAAAUGCCCAUCAAUGUUAGACUGCAUAAAGAAAAUGUGGUACAUAUACAUCAUGGAAUACUAUGCAGCUAUAAAAAAGAAUGAGUUCAUGUCCUUUGCAGUAUCUACACCUUAAAAAGUAUUUUAGUUAUUAUUUUAAAUAAGUUUGUCUUUUAGUCUUACUACUCAAGAUAUGAAUGGUUUACACACAGCGAAUACAUUGUCAGAAUAUUCUUUGUGUACUCACUGUUACCUGUGAGUUUUUACCUUUAGAUAAUUUCUUAUUGCUCAUUAACAUUCUUUCUUUUUAGAAUCAAGAACUUCCUUUUACAUUUCUUGAAUGACAGGUCUGGUGUUUUCCAAAUUUCUUAACGCUCAUUGGGAAAAUAUUUCUCCUUUAUGUGUGUGCGUGUGUGUGUUUUUUUUUUUUUUUUUUUUUUUUUGUGAAAGAGUCUUGCUCUGUCACCCCAGCUGGAGUGCAAUGGCACGAUCUCCGAUCUCGGCUCACUACAACCUCUGACUCCUGGGUUCAAGCAAUUCUCUUGCCUCAGCCUCUCAAGCAGCUGGGGUUACAGGUGCACGCCACAACACUCAGAUAAUUUUUGUAUUUUUACUAGAGACGGGGUUUCACCAUGUUGGCCGGGCUGGUCUCAAACUCCUGACGUCGUGCAUCCACCUGCCUCAGCCUGCUAAUGUGCUGGGAUUACAGGCAUGAGCCACCGUGCCUGGCCUCCUUUAUGUUUUAAAGGUAUUUUCACUGGAUACUGACACUCCUUUGUAUGUUAUUUGCUUGUUUUUUCUUGCUGCAUUUAGGAUUCUUUCUUUAUCUUUUUGUUUUGGGAGUUUGAUUAUUGAAUGUCUUGAAGUAGUCUUAAUGUGUUAAAUCCACUUGGUGUUCUAUUACUUUCUUAAACUUGAAUAUUGAUAACUUUCUUUAGGUUUCAAAAGUUCACUGUUAUUAUUUCUUUGAAUAGACUUUUACCCCAACCUCUUGCUAUACCUCCUCUUUUAGACCAGUAAUGAUUAGAUUUUUUUGAGGCCUUUUUCUAGAUCUUGUUGGUUUACUUCAUUCUUUUUCAUCCUUUUUUCUUUUGCUUUCUCUUACUGUGCAUUUUCAGUAGCCGAUCUCCAAGUUCACUAUUUUUUUUCAGCCUAAUAAUUUCUGCUAUUAAAAUACUCUGAUGCAUGUUUUCAUUUUGUUAAUUGAAUUUUUAAACUUCUAAAUAUCUACUUGAUUUUUCUAUUAUUUCAAUCUCUUUGUAAAUGUUUUCUAAUAGAAUUCUAAAUUCCUUAUUUGUGUUACUGUGAAAUUGGUUAAGCUUCCUCAAAAAAACCUAUUUUGAGUUCUCUUUUGAAAAGUCACAUAUGUCUCUCACUCCAGGAUUGGUCAGUGGUGCCUUAUUUUGUUCAUUUGGUCAGGUCAUGUUUUCUUGUAUAUUCUUGAUGCUUGUUGAUGUUCAUGAUGUUUGGGCGCUGAAGAGUUUAGGUAUUCUAAUCUUUGCAGUUCUUUCUUGUUUGGAUUUAUACUUCUCGAGAAGACUUUCCCAUAUCUAGAGUUGCAACUUAAGUCUUUGGUUACUGCAGCUAUAUCUGCACUAGGGAGUGCCACAAGUCCAGUAGUGAUGCCAUAUUUGCAUACUUGCAGAGGUAUAUCAUGGGUGGACUUGAAUAAGAUCUGGGAGCAUUUCCUGGAAUACCAGGGAGUCUCUCAUCCUCUUCUCUCACUUUUCCCCAAACAAGUGUUUGUCUCUCUGUGCUGGGCUGACUGAAAUUGGGGGAGGGAUGAUGCAAACACUUCCAGGGCCACCAAAGUUGGGACUAUGCUGGGUCACACUUGAAGCCAGCACGGUAAUGGGUCUAGUCCAAGGCCCAUGGUGACUACUGCCUGGCUACCACUCAUGUAGCCCUAUCAAGGUCCCUUUAGUCAGCAUGUGUUGCAUCCUGCCAAGGCUUGGUUUUUCACUUCAGGUUAGUGGGUUCCCUUCUAGCCCAGGGUGGGUUUAGAAAUGUCAUCCAAGACCUAGGGUCUGGAAUUGGAGGUCUCAGGACUCUGCUUUAUGCUUUUAUUUUUUUAUUAUUGUUAUUUUUAAACUGUGGCUGAAAGUGUAUCUAAGUCACAGGACAAAGUUCUUUUUACUCUUCCUUUUCCUUUCUGCAAGUGGAAGGAGUCUCUCCUGGAGCUAUGAGUUGUGCUUCCUGGAGUUGGAGAAGAGCUGAUGCAAGCAUUCCCUUGGCCACUCCAGCUUUUGUCUCACUGAGCUGUGGGUAUCUCAAUACCACUGUCUCCAAGCUCAGCAAAGCAACAGGACUUACCCAAGGACUGCAAGCCUUGAGCCUGACUGUCUUUCAAGUUUAUCCAGGACCCCAGGCUACAUUAAUCAGGCAUUGAUGGAGCUAGCCAGAGCUCAGGUUCCCACUGCUGGAGUAAAAGAUUACCUUUUGACUGGGGUUAGUCUAAAUGCCUCCUCUGUUGGCACUGGCUAAAUUCUGCCCUGUGUUGUGUUCCACUGGGACAAGGUAGCACUGAAUUCCAAUACAAAUACCAAAGUCCUUGACUCCCCCUCCCACAAGCACAUACAUUAUCUCUCUUUGUACUGCUGGGGGAUGGAGGAGGGAUGAUGUAGGCAAUGCAAGACUACCCUGGCUACCCUCUUCAGUGCUUCUUUUCUUGAUAUGAUGUUAUAAUCAGGUACUGUGAUUGCUUAUUUUUUUUUGGUUUUUAUGGAAGUUCUUUCUUGCAUGUAUAGUUAUUCAAUUCGGUGUUCCUGUGGUAGGGUUAUCAUUGGAGAGAUUUUUUUAGUCAUCUUGCUCUUCCUAUUCCCUAAAGUGUUUUAAAACUUAAAAGAAAAAAAGAACGAUAAGCAAAGUAAAAAGACAAAUGAAGCACUGGAGUUUACUUAAAAUCUGUAUUACAGAAAAAGGACUAAUACGUUUAUAACACAAAUAUACAUAUAUGUGUAUUUGUGUGUGCAUGUUUGUGAGUGUGUUUGUGUGUGUGUCUGUGUGUCUGUGUAGAGUGAGUUCCAAAUAUCUGAGAAAGAUCCCAGUCAAUUUAGAAAGUUUAUUUUCCCAAAGUUAAGGACAUGUGCCUGUAACAUAGCCUCAGGAGGCCCUGGUGACAUGUGCCCAAGGUGGUCGGGGCAUGGCUUGGUUUAUACAUUUUAGAGAGACAUGAGACAUCAAUCAAUAUGUGUAAGAUGUACAUUGGUUCAGUCCUGAAAGGCAGGACAACUCAAAGCAGGGAGGGGGCUUCCAGGUCAUAGGCAGAUAAAAGGCAAACCGUUGCAUUCUUUUUUUUUUUUUUCGCAGUUGCAAGAUUUAAUAGAGUGAAAACAGAGCUCCCAUAAAAUGGGAGGGGACCCAAAGGGGGUUGCCCUUGCCAGCUUGAAUGCCUGGGUUUAUAUCCCAAUCAUUGUCCCUCCCCCUGUGCUCUCAGGCAAUAGAUGAUUGGCUAUUUCUUUACCUCCUGUUUUAGCCUAAUUAGCGUUUUAGUGAGCUCUCUUUACUACCUGAUUGGUCAAGUGUGAGCUAAGUUGCAAGCCCUGUGUUUUAAAGGUGGAGGCGGUCACCUUCCCGGCUAGGCUUAGGGAUUCUUAGUCGGCCUAGGAAAUCCAGCUAGUCCUGCCUUUCAGUCCCCCUCUCAACAGGAAAACCCAAGUGCUGUUGGGGGAGGUUGGCCCACGACCGCUCUAACUGCUUCCUGCUGAAUUGGGGCGUAGUAGGGGUCGUGCAGUUGAGAUUUCCUCAGGAGUGGCACCUUCGAUGUUAUUCUUUUGAGUUUCUGAUUAGCCUUUCCAGUGGAGACAAUCAAUACAUAUCUAUCUCAGUGAGCAGAGGAAUGACUUUGAGUUCUGCAUGCCCUUUGUCUGCAAGGAAAUUUCUUGUGAGGCAGGUAUGUAGCUUUUUUAAUCUUACGAGCUAUCGUUUUUAGGAAUAGAAUGGAAGGAAGAUUUUCCCUAAGCAGUUCUCAGCUUAACCUCUUUCUUUGGCUUAGUGAUUUGGGGGUCUCAAGAUGUAUUUUCCUUUUACAUUUCCCCCUUUUCUUUUUAAAAUCUUUCAGAGAAAGCAUUUUAGAAGAAAAUGAGUUUCUGGUCUCAGGUUCUGUCUGAUCUGUCACGGAGCGGAUGAUUUAUUCUUAGAUGAAUAGGUCCCACAUUAUUAGGAAAGCUCAUUUUUAGCAGGUCGUAAAGUCUCACGUCCUACACAGAGAAAACUGGGGAAGAAGGGAAGCAAAAUAACAAACAAAAAGAUAUUAAUUCUGGAAAAUUGAUGUAGGCCAUAUUAUUCUAAAAUCUAUACAUCAGUAGGCAGAUAUGAAAGUGGUUUAUUUAUGUAACUAGAUUGCUGUUAUUUUCUUCUGAAAUUUAAGUUGUUUAGCUUCAGUUCUCUUGGCUUUAAGAGAAGAGAGCUUAAUUUUUAGUGAUUUCAAAUCAGAAAAAAAUGGGAAUAAAAGGAAAGAAAGGAAGGAAAAUAAUUGGAAACAUUAUUUUGGAGACUUGUACCCAGGAAAAAUUUUAAAAUUCAUUCCAAACUGUAGAAAAUAAUAAAAAUUGAAAAACAUUAGGUUAGGCAAGACUAGAAUCUAACAACAGGUGUACUAUAGUUUAUUUUGAAACACUCUCUCUCCAGUCCUGAUUUUGCUAAAGACAAAUCAUAGGACAAAUUCAUUUGCAAAAUAAGUUUUAGUCUUACUAUACUUGGCUGGAGUAUUUGCAUAAAGUCAGCAAGAAUAAUUAUUUACUAUAUAGGCUCCUCCUUUUUGUUAAAAUUGGCUUUGCUGGAAUUUUAUUGAAUAAGGAAUCUCAGAUCUAACUUUAAUGCCUUAGACCCAGCCUGUGCCUGCAAAUACCUUUAUUAAUUAGGUGAAUUCUUCACCUCAAGGUCCCCAGAAAACUUGGGGCCCCUGGGCUUGUCAGAAAGCAACAUUCUUUUUUUUUUUUUUAGACGGAGUCUCGCACCUGCCUCGGCCUCCCAAAGUGCUGGGAUUACAGGCAUGAGCCACCGCACCUGGCCAGAAAGCGACAUUCUUUACUUACCACAGAUCAGAAACCUAUACGAGGACUUUGUAGACAAGGUUUGAAGUCAGCUUUCCCAAGGGACUUUCAUUGGCUCUGUAAGCCAUCUUUCAUUCCUUAAAGGAGUCUUUACCUGAUAGGAUGCCAUUUCAGUCAAAACCUUAAAUAACCAAUGUCUCCAAUUCUGUCCUGUUAAUAACACAGAUUCUUAUUGCACUUAUGCAAAUCACUAUAUUGCCAUAAGUGAAGUAUAUUCUGUUAGGGACAAACCGCCCCAAAAAGCUUCUUGGUACUGCCAACACUCCCCCCAAACCUCUCCAUGCUGCCCACCCUUCCCCAAAACCAUUUUACAUUUCUAAGCCCUUACCUAGGCGCUGUGGUGAAGCCAGCAGAUUUUAUCUAUCAGGUCUUGCUUCAAUAAAGCAAACCCCAAUUACAAAAAAUCCAGACCGCACGGGGGAGGUUGUGGGAAGCAUAAACAAACUUUACCUACACCCUCCUGUAAAUUCUACCAUAAACAUCACAGGGUAAUAUGUGGCAAAAUUAACCAGCAAACAACCCCGGGAUGCAGCCAUACCAAAGAACUCCCUCAAACUCCCUCCCCAAUAUAAACCCCUCAUUCUGUAAGCUGGGGGCUGCUCUCUCUGACUGUUUAGAGGGCAGUCUGUAGGUUAAUAAAGGCUUGCUGAACUUGGGUCUCUCUCUCUCUCAUUCUUUCUCUCUCAGCUGACCUUACAUAUUAAAAACUAGUUUCUAAAUUUUGAAGAAAUUAGGUAGAGAGAAAUAUGCUCCAAUUUUUUUUAUAGGAGCACACUUUAUUCGAUUGUUAAAAGCUGCAAAUAGCUCAAAAGAAAAAAAAUUUUUUUUUGGCUGUGAAAAACAAAGAAAAGGAUAACAACAUUUUAAGCAAAAAGUCAUUACAGGAUUAUUUCAGUCUUCUGUUAGUUCAGUCCAUGUCGUUACCUCCCAUUCUGCUUGAUAUUCCGGAACAUUUUAGCUCUCCAUGGGAGUCUUGGGAGUUUUUUUUCCCUAAUCUAUGUCACAAUCUCCAAAACUGCAUUUCACAGCACCCAUCAGAGUCCUAUGCUGAUUAUAAAACCACCUUUUGAAAAUGAUAAAAGUAAAACAAUUGUGGAUGACAAAAGUCUUAAAACAGUCAUAAAGACACAAUUGACAAGAAAAUUUGGUUACUUCUGUGGCAUAUAAUUUUACAUAAUAAUUAUAAUUACUACUGGUAACAUAUGCUAAAACGUAUCAGCAUAGCAGGAAUUGUAUACAAUUCUGGAACACAUACUAAUAACACAUUUAUAUAAAUAUAAUCCAAAGAAAGGCUAAACACCUAAUUUAGUUUGACAAAAUAUUGUCACGUAUUUUAUAUUUGACAGUACUUCCUGUACGAUUUCUUUAUACCAAAUAAGCUGAAUAUAUUUCUUUUGGACUUCAGGGGACUAAUAUUAAAAAAUUAAUGAGGACCAAAGUUAGAACUUGACUUUGAAAAGUUUGUCAAAAGUAAAAUUUUAAAACACUUAAUAUCACUAAAUAGGAUCACAGGUCGUUGUAAAAUAAGUCACUAACUUAGCCAAAGUGAUAACUCAAAGAUUUUCAACAAAAGGCAAAAGCCUUUAUUCUUUGAGAGAGGAGACUUAAUUUCCCAAAGAAUAAGCCCUAAUAAAAGCAGAUGAGUCCAAUUUUAUUCUGAAAUAAAUUCUAAUAUUCUGAUUGCUCAUUCUUUGUAUGUGACCUGUCUUUAUAUAACUGCAAAUAAGACAUUUUAUGUGUCUUUCUUCAAAUUUACUACAACAUGUCAAAGUAGAUUUUUUUUAAAUUAUAUACUGCUUGGUAUAUAUUGUUCCUUCUCGGAUUUAUGUUUAGUUUUAUUAGUUUGGUAUUUUUCAAAUAAUUACUUACACUUCUUUCUUUUAAUUCUCUAUAUCUGAACCUUUAAUUAGAUACAUAUUACAUGACUAGACUUCUCAUUCUAUCUUCAUUAUCUUUUAUGAUACCUUUCAUAUUGUCCAUCUUUUAGUCUCUGUGUUCCAUAUUGGGUAAUUUUUUUCACAGACUCUCCCACUUCACUAAUUAUCACUUAAGUUGUGUCUAAUAUGUUGUUAAAUUCUUCCAUUGAGUUUGAUUUUUGGUUAACAAUUACAUUUUCUGUAUCUAGAUUUUCCAUAUGUUGUAAAUUUUCUCCCAAAAUGUGUGUGUUCAUUCCUGUUAAUUUUCUGUGUUUGCCUAUUUUUGUAAGUGUAUCUUUUAGUUCUUUAAAUGUUUUGUGCUUUUCUAGAGAGGAUUGAGAUUUAUUGUUUGUAAUUUCUGCGAUUCAGUGACUUAACUUUGGUCCAUUAGUGUGCUUGUGUGAGAUAAAGCUGCAUAACAACCCCAAAACUCAGUGGUUUACCAACACUAAUUUUUCACUGACGGGUUGAUGGGUAAGCUAAGGGAGCUUUGGUUCAAACCUGAACUGAUUACCAGGUUCAGGUUUGUUUCACGUUCUUCCAGGGUUCAGCCUGGAAGAGUGGGGCUUACCUGAGGUAUAUUCUAGUUGUAAUAGAGGGCUCAUUUUUAGCUUUCAUUUUUAGUUUGUAGUGUUGUGUACCAUUUACAAACCUUAAAAAGUCAGUUUUCUAAAGAAAUCCUCAACAAUUUUAUUUAAGUAAACAUUCUCCUACAGAAUAUAUAUCCUGUAGCUUUGCUGUUGUGUUUUUAUAAAAUAAAUACAUGUAAAAACAUAUAAUUUGAUUUACUUUUAAUAACAUGCUUAAUAUUGGUAUUUUCAUAUUAUGGAAUAAAUUUCUGUUAAUGGGAUUCUAGUUUAUAGAAACACACAUGUAAGAAGUGAGAAGUUGACUUACAACAGUUUGACUUCAAUCCAGUACUCAGAAAUAUAUUAGUAAAGAAAUUGGGGCUUUUCUGUAGUUAUUAUCUUGAAGAUACAAGGCCAAAGAUUAUCAACCACAACUAAGAAACAAACAAAUAGAAAAGGUACUUGUGCCUGCUAGUGAAAUAUAACAACAGUCGUUUAAUUUUAAAUUUUAGGAAGACCGUACAAGUUAUUCUAGAGCCUUUGAAUGCAUUGACAUUUGCUUUCAGUUAGGAAAAGAACAAACACACGCUUCUUAAAUCAGAUCACUAAGCUUAACAGAAAUAUUAUUUGCACUUAUAGUUGUUUGGAUUUCAGUUACAUCAGACUGCUUGGUAUUCUCUCCUUUUACUUUAAGUGACACUAUAGCAGAGAACACAAUGUACAUUUUUUGGUGUUCAUGAUAUCUGUAAUUUGUAUCAUCUGUCAAAGGUGGGAUUAUUUUGUAUCUGCCAUUGCCUGUAAGUAUAUGAAAGUAAAACUUUUCUACAUGUUUCACUUAGUUAACACAGUUUUUAAAAUACAACUUUGCUGAUUUCCUUAGCAAGUUUAUAGUUAGGCAGCUGCAAAAAUACCAGUGAUAAAUAAAUGGAAGAUAAGAGAAAUAGCUUUCUCCAUCUGUUCCUAUAUUAAAUGAGUGAUGAUACACAUUAUCUUUCAUGCAGUUUCUCAACUUUGCCUUGAUAUUUCUGUAGUACCAGGAUGCUGUUAUACUAUGCAUAUGUUUUGGUCCACUGGCAUAAUUGUUUAAGUUGGUAUUACUGGAAGCAUGCAAUGUUUAACCCAUAUAUAGGCUUGUGUCAUACAGAAGGGUGUGAUGGGACUGGAAAAUAAGGAAAAUGAGAAAUAAGACCUCAUUGAGACCAAUGUUAUUUUCUUCUAAAAUAUCUUAAACCCAGAUAAACUUUACAAUAAAGUGUCUUCAGCGGACCCGUAGGCUCACGCCUAUAAUCCCAGCACUUUGGGAGGCUGAGGCGGGUGGAUCACCUGAGGUCAGGAGUUCCAGACCAGCCUGCCCAACAUGGCGAAACCCUGUCUGUACUAAAAAUACAAAAAUAUUAGCCAGGCUUGGUGGCAGGUGCCUGUAAUCCCAGCUUCUCAAGAGGCUGAGGCAGGAGAAUCACUUGAACUCAGGAGUCAGAGGUUGCAGUGAGCUGAGAUGGCGCCACUGCACUCCAGGCUGGGUGACAAGAGAGAAACUCCGUCUCAAAAAAAAAAAAAAAAGUGUUUUCAUUCUCCAUGAAUUCUGUGCAUAAAUAAGAACCUCCACCUCACACACUUUAAAAUAAUACAGAUAAAUAAUAAACUUAAAGCUUUUAGGUCAAAAUAGAGUUAUACGAAGAACUUAGGCUGUGGCAGUUAUGGAGAUUUUAUGACCUUGAAACUUUCAGAGUCUUAUAACAGUAAGGCCUUUCAGACAUCCUGGGGGAUAGGGAAAAUAAUCCAUACAAUUCUGUGGGUAGUGCUGGAAUUAGAACACUGUAGUCAGGGUAAGUAUAAUCAAUGGCUAAUUGGCAAAGGGCCUAUCUCUGGCUUUUCCACCAUUUAAAGCAAACCUAUGGUAACAGCUAGUGCCUUGACUGUCCUAUGGACUUCAAAUUUUGAAAGUAAGUAGUAAGGACAGAAAACAUUAAAAAUGUGGGGCUAAUGGGAUAGGUUUUAACUGAAAGCAGAAGGGAGAAUCAAAUUAUUAUUGCUAAAAUUGGGUCAUUACAACUAUUCCAGUGAUUGAAACUGGAAGGAUAUAAAAGUAAUUUCUGAGACAACACUGUUUUAAUUUCAGACAAGAUAGAAUGGUAAUUUAUUAGGCAAUUGAAAAGUAGUUAAGGAGAUAGGUUGGCAGGCAGGCAAAUGAAAAGGUAAAUAUUUUUAACAAGCCCCAAAUAAGUAUUUCAAAUGACAUCCUGCCCAUAUCUACUUGAAUAUCUUACGGAAUCUCAAACAUCAUGACCAAACCAAGAUUCAAUAUAUUCUAUUCUCCCAUACUAACUGCUUAUCCUGUAAUUCCCAUCUCAUUUAAUGAGGAAAAUAUUCAUUUUAUAUCCAAUAAAGAAACUUGAGAAUCAUCCCCAAGUUGUAUUUUUUUAAAAAAAUCUCAUAUUCAUACUUUGAUUCCUGUCAGUUUGACUUAAUAAGUAUAUCUUAAAUUUGUCAUUUUAUUUCCGCCUGGAAGUACUACUGGCUUUAUUCUACUCACCAUCAUCUAUUACCUAGAAUACUGAAAAAGCUUUCUAAGUAAUUUCUCUGCCUCCACUUUUUUUCUCCUUUCUCAUUCCAUCCUCCAAUCUAUCAUCUCCAGGGUAAUCUCUCUGAAUGGAAAUCUGCUCAUGUAACCAACUUGCUUAAAAAUGUUCAAUGUCUGUUUAUAGCUUUCAAGAUAAAGUCCAAACUUUUUAGCAUGCUGUGUAAAGCCCUGAUGAUCUGCCCCCAGGCAGACCAUUUUCUUAGUUUUUCACCAUUCGAAAAUAUAUAUCCUAUGUCCCUUCCACAAUUGUAUGCAACUUGCUAAUGCAUGCCUCUGUACUUUUGCAUAUACUACUCUACUCCUCCCCUAGUGGCUUAGUUCAAUAUUACAUUCUCCAUAAAAAUUUCUAUGCUUACUUUUGUAUACAUCCAUUUAUCUGUAAUUCUUUAGCAUAUUGUUGAUUUGUUCAUUUACUGAUUCAUUCAUUCAAUUAUAUACAUAUAAUUGCCUAUUAUAUUUAGAUACUAUAUUGAACACAUGAAAAACAAGAUUCACUUCCACAUCUGAAGGAAACCAAAACGUACAUGGGGGAUAUAAAAUGAUGACAAGGCAAUUUGGUAAGUGCCAUAAUACAAGUAACUGUAAGAUACUAUAAAAACCCACAGGUACAGUAUCUAUCCAGUAUGUGAUGUGGGGCAAGGGUUAUAUGUCAAAGAAACUUCUUUGAAAAGGUAUUGGCUGGAGAAAGGCAGAGAAAGAUGGGUGAAUAGAAGGCUCCCCCAAAAGCCCUUCACCAAGAAAAACAAUUUAACAAAUAUUUAAACAAAGAAAGCAUCUUCGUAAGAACAAAGAAUCAGAUGAAUAAUCACAGUAUGUUGGUUUAACUUCAUAUUACUGAAAGAGGCACUGAAAAGGUUAAAAAAAGACAGUCAUGAAUUGCUGACACUACACCUCCCCAGUGCCCAGCAGCAACUGUGUGGCAGAGAUAGAGAAUCUGUGAUCUUGGAAGAGGGAGAGUGCAACAGUUGUGAGACGUUGCAUUGAACUCAAUACUGCCCUAUCACAGAAGAAAACAAAACCAGGCUAAACUCAGCUGAUGCUCCCCCAUGGAGAGAAUAUUUAAGACAACCCUAGCCAGAGAGGAAUCACCCAUCUAAGCAGUCAGAAGCAGAUUUCUAGCAAGCCUUGCCACCGUGGGCUAAAGCGUACUGGUGCCCUAAGUAAACUUGAAAUGCAAUCUAGGCCAGACGACUGAAAAACGUAGGCAAAUUCUACUGCUGAAAUGGGCUUAGAGCCAGUGAACUUGGGAGGCAUGUGACCUGCUGAGACACCAGUUGGGCAGCUAAAGGAGUGUUUGCACAAUACCUCCCUCAAACCCAGGCUGCACAUCUCUCAGACACAAAAGUGACCCCUCUCUUCCACUUGUGGAGAGGAGAGGAAAAAUUUUAAAAGACUCUGUCUUGCAUCUUGGAUACCAGCUUAGCCAGAGUAGCACAGGGCACCAGUCAAAGGCAUGAGGCCCACUGUCCAGGCUGUAGGUCCAAGAUAACACUUCUAGACACACCUGGGACAGAAGGAAAAAUCACUGGCUUGAAGAAAAAGACUCAAUCCCAGCAGGUUUCAUCACCUGCUAAUUAAAGAGCCCUUGGGCUCUUUAUAUCCAGUGAUAUCCAGGUAGUACACCAUGGGCCUUGGGUGAGACUUGGAUACUUGCUUCCUUUAGGUAUCAGCUCUGCCACAGGUAAGUAGAACACCAAGUGGGCUCCUGGGAUCCCCAAAUUCCAGAAAUUUGUCUCUUGAAUGGCAUUUCUGGAAGUGCCAUGGGCCAGAGGGGAGCCCACUGCCCUGAAGUGUGAGUCCCAGGAAAGGCAACAAUCAUCGCAAGCUGACUGAAACCCACUUGGACCUUAAGGAAACUCUGGCAUGGGCUGGCGGUGGAGGUGGCCAGGAGGUGAGGCUCCUCUGUCUAAGCAAAGGGGAGAAAUAAGUGAGAAUGACUGAAUCUUGUGGUUUGAGUCACAGCUCAGCUGCCGUACAAUGGAAUAACAGAUAAAAUUAUGAGAAUUUGACUUCACCUUCUGGCUCACAAUGGCACCACUGGACUUGCCAGGCACUUGGGGAAGCUCACUGCCCUGAAGGGAAAGACAUGAGCCUGGCUGGCUUCUCACCGGCUAAUUGUAGAGCCUGGGGGCCCUGAGUGAAAAUAAGCAGUAGCCAGGGAGUGGUUAAAGCAGGCCUUGGGUGAGCGUCAGUGCUGUGCUGACUUCAGGUCUGACCUAGUGCAGUCUCAGUAGUGGUGGCCACAGGGGUUCUUGUGUCAGCCCAUCUGCAACUCCAGUCAGCUUAGUACACAGAGAUAGAUUCUAUUUGUUUGUUAGAAAGUAAGGAAAGAGAAAAAUAGUCUCGGACUGGUAAUCCACAGAAUUCUUCUGGAUCUUUUACAAGACCAUCAAGGCAAUACCUUUAUGAGUCUACAAGAACCACAGUGUUAGUGGGCUUGGGGUGCCCGCUAAUGCGGGUGUGACUUAGAACACAAUUAUAGGUGGGAAUUGAACAAUGAGAACACAUGGACACAGGAAGGGGAACAUCACACACUGGGGACUG
RNAcentral lists this long non-coding RNA (12928 nucleotides) under Homo sapiens (human). RNAcentral describes it as "non-protein coding lnc-FAM133A-3:1". Lineage: Eukaryota; Metazoa; Chordata; Mammalia; Primates; Hominidae. The record is from RNAcentral.